Molecule: ribosomal RNA, 253 nt
Filed under: uncultured bacterium
Lineage: Bacteria
Description: partial 16S ribosomal RNA
Rfam family: Bacterial small subunit ribosomal RNA
Source: RNAcentral
UACGAAGGGGGCUAGCGUUGCUCGGAAUCACUGGGCGUAAAGCGCACGUAGGCGGCUUUUUAAGUCAGGGGUGAAAUCCUGGAGCUCAACUCCAGAACUGCCUUUGAUACUGGAGAGCUCGAGUCCGGGAGAGGUGAGUGGAACUGCGAGUGUAGAGGUGAAAUUCGUAGAUAUUCGCAAGAACACCAGUGGCGAAGGCGGCUCACUGGCCCGGUACUGACGCUGAGGUGCGAAAGCGUGGGGAGCAAACAGG